Long non-coding RNA from Globicephala melas (long-finned pilot whale), 1129 nucleotides. RefSeq lists it as uncharacterized. The record is from RefSeq and is a predicted model, not a curated record. Lineage: Eukaryota; Metazoa; Chordata; Mammalia; Artiodactyla; Delphinidae.
GACUCCCACCCUGCUGCUCCGUGGGCUCACACUCGCUUCUCUGUGAGGGAAUGGGUCAUGCUCCUGUGGCUGAUUUUUCAGUCAAAUCCAGACCGAAAAUUCUAGAAAGAGAGGAGGCUUCAUUUGGAUUUUUUACCUUUUUGCUCUCUCUCUCGGAAUCGUGGGUCCAUUUCGGGCUCGACCCCAUCUCCUGGCAGGAUUCUCUAUAACCGAAACGUGGCGGAUUUUCCCUCUUUUUUCUCCAGCUCCUUAACUGUCGGCUCCCCAGGUGCCCCCAAGACAUUCCUGGCUGAGGUUGAGAGGGGCUUCCCUGCUGAGCAUGGGCGCCUCAGGCCAGGGGCACACAAGGCCCGGUGAGGCUGCAUGUGGGGCUCUCAAAGCCAAGACCCACAGGAGGAAGGAGAGCGAGGUGUGUGCUCCAGAGGGUACCCAAUAGGGCUGAGAGAUGUCCAUGGAUCAGGAAGCAAGACCCUGGAAGAAGGACGGCUCUUGUCUCAGAGGGUAAUCAGGCCCUUACACACACAGAGGUCCAGUGCUUUGCGGAGGAUGUGCAUGGCAAGGCCCGGAGGGAGGUUAUGACUCCCAAAGGGACCUCCCCCCAGGAGAUCUGGAUGGGUGAGAGCCUGGAUCUCCUGCUUCCAGAGCCCCUCAACCCUCCAGAAGGCGGCGUGGAGGUGGACAUGCCAGGUUUGAAACCAAGCUCUGCCACUUGCCUGCUCUGUGACCUUGGAAACAAGAGUUCUCCAAAGUAGAACUGCCCUGAAGUGGCAACAUUUGUCACCCAACCCUCGCCCUCAAGGCCACCUGAAGUGCAAAGGAUUGAGUGUGGAGCCUGAAAGCUGGCUUUGCAGACAGUACCUAGGCCAGGCGCAUGCAGCCUGGCCGAGCCCGGUGGAACCAGUUGGGAGGGGAGCUGGCAGGGCCAGGAUUCUCUCUCCUUUGACCUGGGGCAGGUGAGGCAAAGGCUGGUGGGAAGGUGACUCUGAGAGCCAGUCUCUUCCCCAGGCAUCCACUGCAGAUCCAGAGAGCAGAUGAAAAACAGAAACCAACAUCAAAACACAGGAAUGUGUAAUAAUAGCAGUUGGAGCAGUUCUACGAAUCUGCUGAUGACAAAAUAAUAUUGCUCAAU